UAGCUUAGUGGUCAGAGCAUUGGCGCGUAAAGCCAAAGAGCCCGGGUUCGAUUCCCGG
This 58-nucleotide transfer RNA is filed under the name Agrilus planipennis (emerald ash borer). It matches the Rfam family "tRNA", at positions 8 to 63 of the family's 71-position model. Rfam says of the family: Transfer RNA (tRNA) molecules are approximately 80 nucleotides in length. Their secondary structure includes four short double-helical elements and three loops (D, anti-codon, and T loops). Further hydrogen bonds mediate the characteristic L-shaped molecular structure. tRNAs have two regions of fundamental functional importance: the anti-codon, which is responsible for specific mRNA codon recognition, and the 3' end, to which the tRNAs corresponding amino acid is attached (by aminoacyl-tRNA synthetases). tRNAs cope with the degeneracy of the genetic code in two manners: having more than one tRNA (with a specific anti-codon) for a particular amino acid; and 'wobble' base-pairing, i.e. permitting non-standard base-pairing at the 3rd anti-codon position. Lineage: Eukaryota; Metazoa; Arthropoda; Insecta; Coleoptera; Buprestidae. The record is from Rfam by way of RNAcentral.